CCUGGUGUGAUGUCGAGCAGGAGAAAAGAAGAAGAGGGAGCCAAUUUCAUCAUGACAAUCACAAAAUUGGAUGGUUAAAACUCCAACUCUGCUCUCUUUGAUCAAUUUCUAGCAUUCUUGGUGAAAUAAUGUCUGGAUGGCAACGGGUCAAACGAGUAAUAAAGCAACAACACUCCAACGGGCGAAGGUGAGUGACUCGAAUGUGUUUGGAGUCGUAUUGAUUUAAAUAGACUUAUUGUUGACUUUAGUUUUAUUAGUUAUGGUGGUUUAAUACAACUUAUUGAGUAUGGUUUAACUUAACAAUAAGGUAUUGUUUUAGCGA
This is a long non-coding RNA of Helianthus annuus (common sunflower), 322 nucleotides long. RefSeq lists it as uncharacterized. The record is from RefSeq and is a predicted model, not a curated record. The transcript is spliced from 2 exons. NCBI's taxonomy places the organism in Eukaryota, Viridiplantae, Streptophyta, Magnoliopsida, Asterales, Asteraceae.